UUUCCCCUGCCCUACGACUCGCUCUCUCUCACUUCCUCACCGCAUCCAUAUGACCUUUGUCGUUCCGCAAGUGCGCACGCGACGCCAUCCGAUCAUCGCCGUCACCCGUAGCUGCCUCCGCCGCAAUCCUCUUUGGCCGUUAUUUUUGGUUCACUAUCGACGGCAUCCUGCCAUCAUCUUCACCAUUUUUGAGAAGGUUCCGGCGAUUGAUCUCGUGCAAUUUUCGAUUGGAUAGCUUCUUAACUUAGAAGCCGCUUUUGAGGUACCGAGACCGAUUUGCUGGGCGGGGCUGAGACCGAGUGAACGUUAGACGUAGCUAGUUUUAAUUUUUAGUCCUUUUAGUUUUAUGCCUAACAUAUUUAGAUGUGAAUAUUCUUUUGAACUUCGUAAAUGAUCGUUUGUUAUCUUUUAUUUCGUUAUUUUUUUGUACUUACCUUGGUUAAUUAUGAUAUU
Long non-coding RNA from Ananas comosus (pineapple), 453 nucleotides. RefSeq lists it as uncharacterized. The record is from RefSeq and is a predicted model, not a curated record. NCBI's taxonomy places the organism in Eukaryota, Viridiplantae, Streptophyta, Magnoliopsida, Poales, Bromeliaceae. The transcript has 3 exons.